Molecule: non-coding RNA, 126 nt
Filed under: Catagonus wagneri (Chacoan peccary)
Lineage: Eukaryota; Metazoa; Chordata; Mammalia; Artiodactyla; Tayassuidae
Source: RNAcentral
GUGUUGUAUGAAAGGAGAGAAGAUUAGCUUUGCCCCUGACGAGGAUGGAAGAGGCUCUCGGGCCUGACAACAUGCACGUGGUUAAGGCCUGGGUACCUACUUCACGGCAUCUAACCAUUACUUUCU